UACGUAGGGUGCAACGUUAUCCGGAAUUAUUGGGCGUAAAGAGCUCGUAGGCGGUUUGUCGCGUCUGACUGUGAAACCCGAGGCUCAACCUCGGGACCUGCAGUGGGUACGGGCAAACUAGAGUGCGGUAGGGGAGAUUGGAAUUCCUGGUGGUAGCGGUGGAAUGCGCAGAUAUCAGGAGGAACACCGAUGGCGAAGGCAGAUCUCUGGGCCGGUAACUGACGCUGAGGAGCGAAAGCAUGGGGAGCGAACAGG
This 255-nucleotide ribosomal RNA is filed under the name uncultured bacterium. RNAcentral describes it as "partial 16S ribosomal RNA". It matches the Rfam family "Bacterial small subunit ribosomal RNA", at positions 524 to 776 of the family's 1533-position model. The record is from RNAcentral.